This 62-nucleotide transfer RNA is filed under the name Folsomia candida. RNAcentral describes it as "tRNA-Cys". Lineage: Eukaryota; Metazoa; Arthropoda; Collembola; Entomobryomorpha; Isotomidae. The record is from RNAcentral.
UGUUAUGUAUUCAAUUAUGAGUUAGGAUUGCAAAUCUUAAAGUGGCGUUAAGCUCUUAACUU